This 987-nucleotide ribosomal RNA is filed under the name Listeria monocytogenes. Its description in RNAcentral is "partial 23S ribosomal RNA". It matches the Rfam family "Bacterial large subunit ribosomal RNA", at positions 408 to 1396 of the family's 2925-position model. Lineage: Bacteria; Bacillati; Bacillota; Bacilli; Caryophanales; Listeriaceae. The record is from RNAcentral.
CUGAGUACGGCGGAACACGUGAAAUUCCGUCGGAAUCCGGGAGGACCAUCUCCCAAGGCUAAAUACUCCCUAGUGACCGAUAGUGAACCAGUACCGUGAGGGAAAGGUGAAAAGCACCCCGGAAGGGGAGUGAAACAGUUCCUGAAACCGUGUGCCUACAAGUAGUUAGAGCCCGUUAAUGGGUGAUAGCGUGCCUUUUGUAGAAUGAACCGGCGAGUUACGAUUUGUUGCAAGGUUAAGCGGAAAAAGCGGAGCCGUAGCGAAAGCGAGUCUGAAUAGGGCGCAUAAGUAACAGGUCGUAGACCCGAAACCAGGUGAUCUACCCAUGUCCAGGAUGAAGGUAAGGUAAUACUUACUGGAGGUCCGAACCCACGCACGUUGAAAAGUGCGGGGAUGAGGUGUGGGUAGCGGAGAAAUUCCAAUCGAACUUGGAGAUAGCUGGUUCUCUCCGAAAUAGCUUUAGGGCUAGCCUCGAGGUAAAGAGUCAUGGAGGUAGAGCACUGUUUGGACUAGGGGCCCUUCUCGGGUUACCGAAUUCAGAUAAACUCCGAAUGCCAUGUACUUAUACUCGGGAGUCAGACUGCGAGUGAUAAGAUCCGUAGUCGAAAGGGAAACAGCCCAGACCACCAGUUAAGGUCCCCAAAUAUAUGUUAAGUGGAAAAGGAUGUGGGGUUGCUUAGACAACCAGGAUGUUGGCUUAGAAGCAGCCACCAUUGAAAGAGUGCGUAAUAGCUCACUGGUCGAGUGACCCCGCGCCGAAAAUGUACCGGGGCUAAACAUAUUACCGAAACUGUGGAUGAACCUCUUUAGAGGUUCGUGGUAGGAGAGCGUUCUAAGGGCGGUGAAGUCAGACCGGAAGGACUGGUGGAGCGCUUAGAAGUGAGAAUGCCGGUAUGAGUAGCGAAAGAAGGGUGAGAAUCCCUUCCACCGAAUAUCUAAGGUUUCCUGAGGAAGGCUCGUCCGCUCAGGGUUAGUCGGGACCUAAGC